Molecule: long non-coding RNA, 15827 nt
Organism: Monomorium pharaonis (pharaoh ant)
Lineage: Eukaryota; Metazoa; Arthropoda; Insecta; Hymenoptera; Formicidae
Exons: 2
Source: RefSeq, a predicted model, not a curated record
UAACAAUGACUUUAAUGUAAUAAACAAAAAUAUAGUGCAAUAAAUUGUAGUUCUUAAUGUUAAUAUUUUUUGAAACAAACAUUUUCAAAAAAUUAAAUUGUAUUCUUUUAGAUAUUAUUUAUUUGACGUCUUUUAAAUCGACGCAUUAGAAAGUUUAUCGUCAUUAUUAUUAAAUAUAGAACAAAUAUUAAAUUAACAAAUUUAAUGUUCUAUAUUUAAUUUCUAUGGUUAAUUUCUUAUAAAUAAUUAUUUUAAACUAUUCUUGCAAUAAUUUGUAUGUUUAGUUUGAUUAAUUUUCAAUCUUAUUUGAUUGCGAUGAAUUUUCUAUAAUAUUGACAACUUAUUUAUACUGUUAAAUAUGACGUAAUCACAAUCAGGGAAACUUUGAAAUAUGUAUUAGCACUGAAGAGGACUCGAAUCGGGAGUCGAAACGACUGCGUUUUAUUUGUUAAUGUAUUUGUAUUACAUUGCAACGCAAUUUAACAUCUUAAGUAGUAAAUAAAAAACUUUGUGCUGGUUCUUAUUGGGUCGUUUUUUUAAUGUUUUAGUUAUUAUUAUGUUACCUUUAAAAUGGCGUUCCUGGAUAUCCAACUCUCGAAUACUUAACCCGUUAUGGCCCCACUGAAUACUGUGCAUUGCAGCCCGAAUUUCUUGCAACUACAAUUUUUUUGCAAUUUUUAAUGGACUUGCAUGAUAUUAAUGUCAGUAACGAGUGGUGCUGGGUCUUUCAUCAUACGAACAGGCAUUAGUCCAUUUUUUGUGGUCUUUCUGUUCCACUGUAACGGAUUCAAAUUUUCACCGUACCACUGUUGGAUUUGAAAGUAUGCUCGUUUUCCAUGUAAUUUCCCGGCGUCAGCAGUUGGAGGCAGACAUUUUUUGCUACACGCCGACCUGGCCUGCAGUUAUCUCUCCUCACGCACGUGGCUACGAUACGUCUUUUGUUUGUAUGCAUUGUUUGGACGCCAGAAUUGGUGAGGUAUGCUGAACUUUCUCCAAAACAGCAGCGUGUGACAAGACGUGUCACGUUACGACAUGUCAGAUCGCACGUUUACGAAAAAAUAUUUAAACCAGAUGCAUCUAUUUAGACGGCACUGGAAAAAUUAAUAAUUCCUGAAGCGUCUAUUUAAAUGGAACUGGAAAAAAUAAUUAAACUAAAAGAUGCAUCUAUUUAGACGGCACUGGAAAAAUUAAUUCCUGAAGCGUCUAUUUAGAUAAAACUGGAAAAAAUAUUUAAAUUAUAGAUGGAUCUAUUUAGAUGGCACUGGAAAAAAUAAUAAUUCCUGAAGCGUUUAUUUAAAAUUUUAUAAUACCAUAUGCAUCUAUUUAGACAGCACUGGUAAAAGUAAUAUAAUAAAUGAAGUGUCUAUUUAGAUGGUACUGGUAAUAUUACAUAUAUCGAAACUAGAUGCGUAUAUUUAGAUGGUAUUGAUAAAAAUAAUUUAAAAAAUAUACAUAGAUUAGAAUCGGAGAAACGAAAAAUAAUAUUGGUUGCGUUUUACGGCACUGGGCGAUGGAAAGGCUCAUUUCUCAUAAAUAUAAAAUAAUAGCUGAAGCGUCUGUUUGGACGGUACUGAUUAAAUCAUAAUAUCGGAAGCGUCUAUUUAGACGGUACUGAUAAAAUUAUUAAUAUCUGAAGCGUCUAUUUAGAUGGUACUAAUAAAAUUAUAAUAUCGGAAGCGUCUAUUUAGACGGUACUGAUGAAAUUAUUAAUAUCUAAAGCAUCUAUUAAAAUAAGGACGGCACUAGUAACAUUAAAAAUACCUGAAGCAUCUAUGUAGAUGGUACUGGUAAAAUUAUAUAUAUCAAAACUAGAUGCGUCUAUUACUUAGAUGGUAUUGAUAUAAUUAAUAAUUUAAAUACAUACACAAAUUAAAAUUGGAGAAACAAAGAACAAUAUUGGUUGCGUUUCACGGGACUGGGCGAUGGAGGGGCCCAUUUCUUAUAAAUAUAAAAUAAUAGCUGAAGCGUCCGUUUGGACGGUACUGAUUAAAUUAUAAUAUCUGAAGCGUCUAUUUAGACGGUACUGAUGAAAUUAUUAAUAUCUAAAGCAUUUAUUAAAAUUAAGACGGCACUAGUAACAUUAAAAAUAUUUGAAGCGUCUAUGUAGAUGGUACUGGUAAUAUUAUAUAUAUCAAAACUAGAUGCGUCUGUUAUUUAGAUGGUAUUGAUAUAAUUAAUAAUUUAAAAUGCAUACACAAAUUAGAAUCGGAGAAACGAAGAACAUUAAUGAUUGCGUUUCACGGACUGGACGAUGGAGGGGCCCAUUUUUCAUCAAUAGAAAAUAAUAGAUGAAGCGUCUGUGUGGACGGUACUAAUUAAAUUAUAAUAUCUGAAACAUCUAUUAUAAUUAAGACGGCACUAGUAACAUUAAUAAUACCUGAAGCAUUUAUGUGGAUGGAACUUGUAAUAUUAUAUAUGUAUAUCAAAACUAGAUGCGUCUAUUUAGAUGGUAUUGAUAUAAUUAAUAGUUAUAAAAAAAUUAGAAUCGGAGAAACGAAGAACAAUAUUGGUUGCGUUUUACGGGACUGGGCGAUGGAGGGGCCCAUUUCUCAUAAAUAUAAAAUAAUAGCUGAAGCGUCUGUGUGGACGGUACUGAUUAAAUUGUAAUAUCUGAAGCGGCUAUUUAGAUGGUACUGAUGAAAUUAUAAGACGGCACUAGUAACAUUAAAAAUACCUGAAGCAUCUAUGUAGAUGGUACUGGUAAUAUUAUAUAUAUCAAAACUAGAUGCGUCUAUUACUUAGAUGGUAUUGAUAUAAUUAAUAAUUUAAAAUGCAUACACAAAUUAGAAUCGGAGAAACGAAGAACAAUAAUGGUUGCGUUUCACGGACUGGGCGAUGGAGGGGCCCAUUUUUCAUAAAUAGAAAAUAAUACCUGAAGCGUCUGUGUGGACGGUACUAAUUAAAUUAUAAUAUCUGAAACAUCUAUUAUAAUUAAGACGGCACUAGUAACAUUAAUAAUACCUGAAGCAUUUAUGUGGAUGGUACUUGUAAUAUUAUAUAUGUAUAUCAAAACUAGAUGCGUCUAUUUAGAUGGUAUUGAUAUAAUUAAUAGUUAUAAAAAAAUUAGAAUCGUAGAAACGAAGAACAAUAUUGGUUGCGUUUUACGGGACUGGGCGAUGGAGGGGCCCAUUUCUCAUAAAUAUAAAAUAAUAGCUGAAGCGUCUGUGUGGACGGUACUGAUUAAAUUGUAAUAUCUGAAGCGUCUAUUUAGACGGUACUGAUGAAAUUAUUAAUAUCUAAAGCAUCUAUUAAAAUUAAGACGGCACUAGUAACAUUAAAAAUACCUAAAGCGUCUAUGUAGAUGGUACUGGUAAUAUUAUAUAUAUCAAAACUAGAUGCGUCUGUUACUUAGAUGGUAUUGAUAUAAUUAAUAAUUUAAAAUACAUACACAAAUUAGAAUCGGAGAAACGAAAAACAAUAUUGGUUGCGUUUUACGGGACUGGGCGAUGGAGGGGCCCAUUUUUCAUAAAUAUAAAAUAAUAGCUGAAGCGUCUGUUUGGACGGUACUGAUUAAAUUAUAAUAUCUGAAGCGUCUGUUUGGACGGUACUGAUUAAAUUAUAAUAUCUGAAGCGUCUAUUUAGACGGUACUGAUGAAAUUAUUAAUAUCUAAAGCAUUUAUUAAAAUUAAGACAGCACUAGUAACAUUAAUAAUACCUGAAGCGUCUAUGUAGAUGGUACUGGUAAUAUUAUAUAUAUCAAAACUAGAUGCGUCUGUUAUUUAGAUGGUAUUGAUAUAAUUAAUAAUUUAAAAUGCAUACACAAAUUAGAAUCGGAGAAACGAAGAACAAUAAUGGUUGCGUUUCACGGACUGGGCGAUGGAGAGGCCUAUUUUUCAUAAAUAGAAAAUAAUAGCUGAAGCGUCUGUGUGGACGGUACUAAUUAAAUUAUAAUAUCUGAAACAUCUAUUAAAAUUAAGACGGCACUAGUAACAUUAAUAAUACCUGAAGCAUUUAUGUGGAUGGUACUGAUAAUAUUGUAUAUGUAUAUCAAAACUAGAUGUGUCUAUUUAGAUGGUAUUAAUAUAAUUAACAGUUAUAAAAAAAUUAGAAUCGGAGAAACGGAGAACAAUAAUGGUUGCGUUUCACGGACUGGGCGAUGGAGGGGCCCAUUUUUCACAAAUAGAAAAUAAUAGCUGAAGCGUCUGUGUGGACGGUACUAAUUAAAUUAUAAUAUCUGAAACAUCUAUUAUAAUUAAGACGGCACUAGUAACAUUAAUAAUACCUGAAGCAUUUAUGUGGAUGGUACUUGUAAUAUUAUAUAUGUAUAUCAAAACUAGAUGCGUCUAUUUAGAUGGUAUUGAUAUAAUUAAUAGUUAUAAAAAAAUUAGAAUCGGAGAAACGAAGAACAAUAUUGGUUGCGUUUUACGGGACUGGGCGAUGGAGGGGCCCAUUUCUCAUAAAUAUAAAAUAAUAGCUGAAGCGUCUGUGUGGACGGUACUGAUUAAAUUGUAAUAUCUGAAGCGUCUAUUUAGACGGUACUGAUGAAAUUAUUAAUAUCUAAAGCAUCUAUUAAAAUUAAGACGGCACUAGUAACAUUAAAAAUACCUAAAGCGUCUAUGUAGAUGGUACUGGUAAUAUUAUAUAUAUCAAAACUAGAUGCGUCUGUUACUUAGAUGGUAUUGAUAUAAUUAAUAAUUUAAAAUGCAUACACAAAUUAGAAUCGGAGAAACGAAAAACAAUAUUGGUUGCGUUUUACGGGACUGGGCGAUGGAGGGGCCCAUUUUUCAUAAAUAUAAAAUAAUAGCUGAAGCGUCUGUUUGGACGGUACUGAUUAAAUUAUAAUAUCUGAAGCGUCUGUUUGGACGGUACUGAUUAAAUUAUAAUAUCUGAAGCGUCUAUUUAGACGGUACUGAUGAAAUUAUUAAUAUCUAAAGCAUUUAUUAAAAUUAAGACAGCACUAGUAACAUUAAUAAUACCUGAAGCGUCUAUGUAGAUGGUACUGGUAAUAUUAUAUAUAUCAAAACUAGAUGCGUCUGUUAUUUAGAUGGUAUUGAUAUAAUUAAUAAUUUAAAAUGCAUACACAAAUUAGAAUCGGAGAAACGAAGAACAAUAAUGGUUGCGUUUCACGGACUGGGCGAUGGAGGGGCCCAUUUUUCACAAAUAGAAAAUAAUAGCUGAAGCGUCUGUGUGGACGGUACUAAUUAAAUUAUAAUAUCUGAAACAUCUAUUAUAAUUAAGACGGCACUAGUAACAUUAAUAAUACCUGAAGCAUUUAUGUGGAUGGUACUUGUAAUAUUAUAUAUGUAUAUCAAAACUAGAUGCGUCUAUUUAGAUGGUAUUGAUAUAAUUAAUAGUUAUAAAAAAAUUAGAAUCGGAGAAACGAAGAACAAUAUUGGUUGCGUUUUACGGGACUGGGCGAUGGAGGGGCCCAUUUCUCAUAAAUAUAAAAUAAUAGCUGAAGCGUCUGUGUGGACGGUACUGAUUAAAUUGUAAUAUCUGAAGCGGCUAUUUAGAUGGUACUGAUGAAAUUAUAAGACGGCACUAGUAACAUUAAAAAUACCUGAAGCAUCUAUGUAGAUGGUACUGGUAAUAUUAUAUAUAUCAAAACUAGAUGCGUCUAUUACUUAGAUGGUAUUGAUAUAAUUAAUAAUUUAAAAUGCAUACACAAAUUAGAAUCGGAGAAACGAAGAACAAUAUUGGUUGCGUUUUACGGGACUGGGCGAUGGAGGGGCUCAUUUCUCAUAAAUAUAAAAUAAUAGCUGAAGCGUCUGUGUGGACGGUACUGAUUAAAUUGUAAUAUCUGAUGCGUCUAUUUAGACGGUACUGAUGAAAUUAUUAAUAUCUAAAGCAUCUAUUAAAAUUAAGACGUCACUAGUAACAUUAAAAAUACCUGAAGCGUCUAUGUAGAUGGUACUGGUAAUAUUAUAUAUAUCAAAACUAGAUGCGUCUGUUACUUAGAUGGUAUUGAUAUAAUUAAUAAUUUAAAAUACAUACACAAAUUAGAAUCGGAGAAACGAAAAACAAUAUUGGUUGCGUUUCACAGGACUGGGCGAUGGAGGGGCCCAUUUUUCAUAAAUAUAAAAUAAUAGCUGAAGCGUCUGUUUGGACGGUACUGAUUAAAUUAUAAUAUCUGAAGCGUCUGUUUGGACGGUACUGAUUAAAUUAUAAUAUCUGAAGCGUCUAUUUAGACGGUACUGAUGAAAUUAUUCAUACCUAAAGCAUUUAUUAAAAUUAAGACGGCACUAGUAACAUUAAUAAUAUCUGAAGCGUCUAUGUAGAUGGUACUGGUAAUAUUAUAUAUAUCAAAACUAGAUGCGUCUAUUACUUAGAUGGUAUUGAUAUAAUUAAUAAUUUAAAAUGCAUACACAAAUUAGAAUCGGAGAAACGAAGAACAAUAUUGGUUGCGUUUUACGGGACUGGGCGAUGGAGGGGCCCAUUUUUCAUAAAUAUAAAAUAAUAGCUGAAGCGUCUGUUUGGACGGUACUGAUUAAAUUAUAAUAUCUGAAGCGUCUGUUUGGACGGUACUGAUUAAAUUAUAAUAUCUGAAGCGUCUAUUUAGACGGUACUGAUGAAAUUAUUAAUACCUAAAGCAUUUAUUAAAAUUAAGACGGCACUAGUAACAUUAAUAAUAUCUGAAGCGUCUAUGUAGAUGGUACUGGUAAUAUUAUAUAUAUCAAAACUAGAUGCGUCUGUUAUUUAGAUGGUAUUGAUAUAAUUAAUAAUUUAAAAUGCAUACACAAAUUAGAAUCGGAGAAACGAAGAACAAUAAUGGUUGCGUUUCACGGACUGGGCGAUGGAGAGGCCUAUUUUUCAUAAAUAGAAAAUAAUAGCUGAAGCGUCUGUGUGGACGGUACUAAUUAAAUUAUAAUAUCUGAAACAUCUAUUAAAAUUAAGACGGCACUAGUAACAUUAAUAAUACCUGAAGCAUUUAUGUGGAUGGAACUUGUAAUAUUAUAUAUGUAUAUCAAAACUAGAUGCGUCUAUUUAGAUGGUAUUGAUAUAAUUAAUAGUUAUAAAAAAAUUAGAAUCGGAGAAACGAAGAACAAUAUUGGUUGCGUUUUACGGGACUGGGCGAUGGAGGGGCCCAUUUCUCAUAAAUAUAAAAUAAUAGCUGAAGCGUCUGUGUGGACGGUACUGAUUAAAUUGUAAUAUCUGAAGCGGCUAUUUAGAUGGUACUGAUGAAAUUAUAAGACGGCACUAGUAACAUUAAAAAUACCUGAAGCAUCUAUGUAGAUGGUACUGGUAAUAUUAUAUAUAUCAAAACUAGAUGCGUCUAUUACUUAGAUGGUAUUGAUAUAAUUAAUAAUUUAAAAUGCAUACACAAAUUAGAAUCGGAGAAACGAAGAACAAUAAUGGUUGCGUUUCACGGACUGGGCGAUGGAGGGGCCCAUUUUUCAUAAAUAGAAAAUAAUACCUGAAGCGUCUGUGUGGACGGUACUAAUUAAAUUAUAAUAUCUGAAACAUCUAUUAUAAUUAAGACGGCACUAGUAACAUUAAUAAUACCUGAAGCAUUUAUGUGGAUGGUACUUGUAAUAUUAUAUAUGUAUAUCAAAACUAGAUGCGUCUAUUUAGAUGGUAUUGAUAUAAUUAAUAGUUAUAAAAAAAUUAGAAUCGUAGAAACGAAGAACAAUAUUGGUUGCGUUUUACGGGACUGGGCGAUGGAGGGGCCCAUUUCUCAUAAAUAUAAAAUAAUAGCUGAAGCGUCUGUGUGGACGGUACUGAUUAAAUUGUAAUAUCUGAAGCGUCUAUUUAGACGGUACUGAUGAAAUUAUUAAUAUCUAAAGCAUCUAUUAAAAUUAAGACGGCACUAGUAACAUUAAAAAUACCUAAAGCGUCUAUGUAGAUGGUACUGGUAAUAUUAUAUAUAUCAAAACUAGAUGCGUCUGUUACUUAGAUGGUAUUGAUAUAAUUAAUAAUUUAAAAUACAUACACAAAUUAGAAUCGGAGAAACGAAAAACAAUAUUGGUUGCGUUUUACGGGACUGGGCGAUGGAGGGGCCCAUUUUUCAUAAAUAUAAAAUAAUAGCUGAAGCGUCUGUUUGGACGGUACUGAUUAAAUUAUAAUAUCUGAAGCGUCUGUUUGGACGGUACUGAUUAAAUUAUAAUAUCUGAAGCGUCUAUUUAGACGGUACUGAUGAAAUUAUUAAUAUCUAAAGCAUUUAUUAAAAUUAAGACAGCACUAGUAACAUUAAUAAUACCUGAAGCGUCUAUGUAGAUGGUACUGGUAAUAUUAUAUAUAUCAAAACUAGAUGCGUCUGUUAUUUAGAUGGUAUUGAUAUAAUUAAUAAUUUAAAAUGCAUACACAAAUUAGAAUCGGAGAAACGAAGAACAAUAAUGGUUGCGUUUCACGGACUGGGCGAUGGAGAGGCCUAUUUUUCAUAAAUAGAAAAUAAUAGCUGAAGCGUCUGUGUGGACGGUACUAAUUAAAUUAUAAUAUCUGAAACAUCUAUUAAAAUUAAGACGGCACUAGUAACAUUAAUAAUACCUGAAGCAUUUAUGUGGAUGGUACUGAUAAUAUUGUAUAUGUAUAUCAAAACUAGAUGUGUCUAUUUAGAUGGUAUUAAUAUAAUUAACAGUUAUAAAAAAAUUAGAAUCGGAGAAACGGAGAACAAUAAUGGUUGCGUUUCACGGACUGGGCGAUGGAGGGGCCCAUUUUUCACAAAUAGAAAAUAAUAGCUGAAGCGUCUGUGUGGACGGUACUAAUUAAAUUAUAAUAUCUGAAACAUCUAUUAUAAUUAAGACGGCACUAGUAACAUUAAUAAUACCUGAAGCAUUUAUGUGGAUGGUACUUGUAAUAUUAUAUAUGUAUAUCAAAACUAGAUGCGUCUAUUUAGAUGGUAUUGAUAUAAUUAAUAGUUAUAAAAAAAUUAGAAUCGGAGAAACGAAGAACAAUAUUGGUUGCGUUUUACGGGACUGGGCGAUGGAGGGGCCCAUUUCUCAUAAAUAUAAAAUAAUAGCUGAAGCGUCUGUGUGGACGGUACUGAUUAAAUUGUAAUAUCUGAAGCGUCUAUUUAGACGGUACUGAUGAAAUUAUUAAUAUCUAAAGCAUCUAUUAAAAUUAAGACGGCACUAGUAACAUUAAAAAUACCUAAAGCGUCUAUGUAGAUGGUACUGGUAAUAUUAUAUAUAUCAAAACUAGAUGCGUCUGUUACUUAGAUGGUAUUGAUAUAAUUAAUAAUUUAAAAUGCAUACACAAAUUAGAAUCGGAGAAACGAAAAACAAUAUUGGUUGCGUUUUACGGGACUGGGCGAUGGAGGGGCCCAUUUUUCAUAAAUAUAAAAUAAUAGCUGAAGCGUCUGUUUGGACGGUACUGAUUAAAUUAUAAUAUCUGAAGCGUCUGUUUGGACGGUACUGAUUAAAUUAUAAUAUCUGAAGCGUCUAUUUAGACGGUACUGAUGAAAUUAUUAAUACCUAAAGCAUUUAUUAAAAUUAAGACGGCACUAGUAACAUUAAUAAUAUCUGAAGCGUCUAUGUAGAUGGUACUGGUAAUAUUAUAUAUAUCAAAACUAGAUGCGUCUGUUAUUUAGAUGGUAUUGAUAUAAUUAAUAAUUUAAAAUGCAUACACAAAUUAGAAUCGGAGAAACGAAGAACAAUAAUGGUUGCGUUUCACGGACUGGGCGAUGGAGAGGCCUAUUUUUCAUAAAUAGAAAAUAAUAGCUGAAGCGUCUGUGUGGACGGUACUAAUUAAAUUAUAAUAUCUGAAACAUCUAUUAAAAUUAAGACGGCACUAGUAACAUUAAUAAUACCUGAAGCAUUUAUGUGGAUGGUACUUGUAAUAUUAUAUAUGUAUAUCAAAACUAGAUGCGUCUAUUUAGAUGGUAUUGGUAUAAUUAAUAGUUAUAAAAAAAUUAGAAUCGGAGAAACGGAGAACAAUAAUGGUUGCGUUUCACGGACUGGGCGAUGGAGGGGCCCAUUUUUCACAAAUAGAAAAUAAUAGCUGAAGCGUCUGUGUGGACGGUACUAAUUAAAUUAUAAUAUGUGAAACAUCUAUUAUAAUUAAGACGGCACUAGUAACAUUAAUAAUACCUGAAGCAUUUAUGUGGAUGGUACUUGUAAUAUUAUAUAUGUAUAUCAAAACUAGAUGCGUCUAUUUAGAUGGUAUUGAUAUAAUUAAUAGUUAUAAAAAAAUUAGAAUCGGAGAAACUAAGAACAAUAUUGGUUGCGUUUUACGGGACUGGGCGAUGGAGGGGCCCAUUUCUCAUAAAUAUAAAAUAAUAGCUGAAGCGUCUGUGUGGACGGUACUGAUUAAAUUGUAAUAUCUGAAGCGUCUAUUUAGACGGUACUGAUGAAAUUAUUCAUACCUAAAGCAUUUAUUAAAAUUAAGACGGCACUAGUAACAUUAAUAAUAUCUGAAGCGUCUAUGUAGAUGGUACUGGUAAUAUUAUAUAUAUCAAAACUAGAUGCGUCUAUUACUUAGAUGGUAUUGAUAUAAUUAAUAAUUUAAAAUGCAUACACAAAUUAGAAUCGGAGAAACGAAGAACAAUAUUGGUUGCGUUUUACGGGACUGGGCGAUGGAGGGGCCCAUUUUUCAUAAAUAUAAAAUAAUAGCUGAAGCGUCUGUUUGGACGGUACUGAUUAAAUUAUAAUAUCUGAAGCGUCUGUUUGGACGGUACUGAUUAAAUUAUAAUAUCUGAAGCGUCUAUUUAGACGGUACUGAUGAAAUUAUUAAUACCUAAAGCAUUUAUUAAAAUUAAGACGGCACUAGUAACAUUAAUAAUAUCUGAAGCGUCUAUGUAGAUGGUACUGGUAAUAUUAUAUAUAUCAAAACUAGAUGCGUCUGUUAUUUAGAUGGUAUUGAUAUAAUUAAUAAUUUAAAAUGCAUACACAAAUUAGAAUCGGAGAAACGAAGAACAAUAAUGGUUGCGUUUCACGGACUGGGCGAUGGAGAGGCCUAUUUUUCAUAAAUAGAAAAUAAUAGCUGAAGCGUCUGUGUGGACGGUACUAAUUAAAUUAUAAUAUCUGAAACAUCUAUUAAAAUUAAGACGGCACUAGUAACAUUAAUAAUACCUGAAGCAUUUAUGUGGAUGGAACUUGUAAUAUUAUAUAUGUAUAUCAAAACUAGAUGCGUCUAUUUAGAUGGUAUUGAUAUAAUUAAUAGUUAUAAAAAAAUUAGAAUCGGAGAAACGAAGAACAAUAUUGGUUGCGUUUUACGGGACUGGGCGAUGGAGGGGCCCAUUUCUCAUAAAUAUAAAAUAAUAGCUGAAGCGUCUGUGUGGACGGUACUGAUUAAAUUGUAAUAUCUGAAGCGGCUAUUUAGAUGGUACUGAUGAAAUUAUAAGACGGCACUAGUAACAUUAAAAAUACCUGAAGCAUCUAUGUAGAUGGUACUGGUAAUAUUAUAUAUAUCAAAACUAGAUGCGUCUAUUACUUAGAUGGUAUUGAUAUAAUUAAUAAUUUAAAAUGCAUACACAAAUUAGAAUCGGAGAAACGAAGAACAAUAAUGGUUGCGUUUCACGGACUGGGCGAUGGAGGGGCCCAUUUUUCAUAAAUAGAAAAUAAUACCUGAAGCGUCUGUGUGGACGGUACUAAUUAAAUUAUAAUAUCUGAAACAUCUAUUAUAAUUAAGACGGCACUAGUAACAUUAAUAAUACCUGAAGCAUUUAUGUGGAUGGUACUUGUAAUAUUAUAUAUGUAUAUCAAAACUAGAUGCGUCUAUUUAGAUGGUAUUGAUAUAAUUAAUAGUUAUAAAAAAAUUAGAAUCGUAGAAACGAAGAACAAUAUUGGUUGCGUUUUACGGGACUGGGCGAUGGAGGGGCCCAUUUCUCAUAAAUAUAAAAUAAUAGCUGAAGCGUCUGUGUGGACGGUACUGAUUAAAUUGUAAUAUCUGAAGCGUCUAUUUAGACGGUACUGAUGAAAUUAUUAAUAUCUAAAGCAUCUAUUAAAAUUAAGACGGCACUAGUAACAUUAAAAAUACCUAAAGCGUCUAUGUAGAUGGUACUGGUAAUAUUAUAUAUAUCAAAACUAGAUGCGUCUGUUACUUAGAUGGUAUUGAUAUAAUUAAUAAUUUAAAAUACAUACACAAAUUAGAAUCGGAGAAACGAAAAACAAUAUUGGUUGCGUUUUACGGGACUGGGCGAUGGAGGGGCCCAUUUUUCAUAAAUAUAAAAUAAUAGCUGAAGCGUCUGUUUGGACGGUACUGAUUAAAUUAUAAUAUCUGAAGCGUCUGUUUGGACGGUACUGAUUAAAUUAUAAUAUCUGAAGCGUCUAUUUAGACGGUACUGAUGAAAUUAUUAAUAUCUAAAGCAUUUAUUAAAAUUAAGACAGCACUAGUAACAUUAAUAAUACCUGAAGCGUCUAUGUAGAUGGUACUGGUAAUAUUAUAUAUAUCAAAACUAGAUGCGUCUGUUAUUUAGAUGGUAUUGAUAUAAUUAAUAAUUUAAAAUGCAUACACAAAUUAGAAUCGGAGAAACGAAGAACAAUAAUGGUUGCGUUUCACGGACUGGGCGAUGGAGAGGCCUAUUUUUCAUAAAUAGAAAAUAAUAGCUGAAGCGUCUGUGUGGACGGUACUAAUUAAAUUAUAAUAUCUGAAACAUCUAUUAAAAUUAAGACGGCACUAGUAACAUUAAUAAUACCUGAAGCAUUUAUGUGGAUGGUACUGAUAAUAUUGUAUAUGUAUAUCAAAACUAGAUGUGUCUAUUUAGAUGGUAUUAAUAUAAUUAACAGUUAUAAAAAAAUUAGAAUCGGAGAAACGGAGAACAAUAAUGGUUGCGUUUCACGGACUGGGCGAUGGAGGGGCCCAUUUUUCACAAAUAGAAAAUAAUAGCUGAAGCGUCUGUGUGGACGGUACUAAUUAAAUUAUAAUAUCUGAAACAUCUAUUAUAAUUAAGACGGCACUAGUAACAUUAAUAAUACCUGAAGCAUUUAUGUGGAUGGUACUUGUAAUAUUAUAUAUGUAUAUCAAAACUAGAUGCGUCUAUUUAGAUGGUAUUGAUAUAAUUAAUAGUUAUAAAAAAAUUAGAAUCGGAGAAACGAAGAACAAUAUUGGUUGCGUUUUACGGGACUGGGCGAUGGAGGGGCCCAUUUCUCAUAAAUAUAAAAUAAUAGCUGAAGCGUCUGUGUGGACGGUACUGAUUAAAUUGUAAUAUCUGAAGCGUCUAUUUAGACGGUACUGAUGAAAUUAUUAAUAUCUAAAGCAUCUAUUAAAAUUAAGACGGCACUAGUAACAUUAAAAAUACCUAAAGCGUCUAUGUAGAUGGUACUGGUAAUAUUAUAUAUAUCAAAACUAGAUGCGUCUGUUACUUAGAUGGUAUUGAUAUAAUUAAUAAUUUAAAAUGCAUACACAAAUUAGAAUCGGAGAAACGAAAAACAAUAUUGGUUGCGUUUUACGGGACUGGGCGAUGGAGGGGCCCAUUUUUCAUAAAUAUAAAAUAAUAGCUGAAGCGUCUGUUUGGACGGUACUGAUUAAAUUAUAAUAUCUGAAGCGUCUGUUUGGACGGUACUGAUUAAAUUAUAAUAUCUGAAGCGUCUAUUUAGACGGUACUGAUGAAAUUAUUAAUACCUAAAGCAUUUAUUAAAAUUAAGACGGCACUAGUAACAUUAAUAAUAUCUGAAGCGUCUAUGUAGAUGGUACUGGUAAUAUUAUAUAUAUCAAAACUAGAUGCGUCUGUUAUUUAGAUGGUAUUGAUAUAAUUAAUAAUUUAAAAUGCAUACACAAAUUAGAAUCGGAGAAACGAAGAACAAUAAUGGUUGCGUUUCACGGACUGGGCGAUGGAGAGGCCUAUUUUUCAUAAAUAGAAAAUAAUAGCUGAAGCGUCUGUGUGGACGGUACUAAUUAAAUUAUAAUAUCUGAAACAUCUAUUAAAAUUAAGACGGCACUAGUAACAUUAAUAAUACCUGAAGCAUUUAUGUGGAUGGUACUUGUAAUAUUAUAUAUGUAUAUCAAAACUAGAUGCGUCUAUUUAGAUGGUAUUGGUAUAAUUAAUAGUUAUAAAAAAAUUAGAAUCGGAGAAACGGAGAACAAUAAUGGUUGCGUUUCACGGACUGGGCGAUGGAGGGGCCCAUUUUUCACAAAUAGAAAAUAAUAGCUGAAGCGUCUGUGUGGACGGUACUAAUUAAAUUAUAAUAUGUGAAACAUCUAUUAUAAUUAAGACGGCACUAGUAACAUUAAUAAUACCUGAAGCAUUUAUGUGGAUGGUACUUGUAAUAUUAUAUAUGUAUAUCAAAACUAGAUGCGUCUAUUUAGAUGGUAUUGAUAUAAUUAAUAGUUAUAAAAAAAUUAGAAUCGGAGAAACUAAGAACAAUAUUGGUUGCGUUUUACGGGACUGGGCGAUGGAGGGGCCCAUUUCUCAUAAAUAUAAAAUAAUAGCUGAAGCGUCUGUGUGGACGGUACUGAUUAAAUUGUAAUAUCUGAAGCGUCUAUUUAGACGGUACUGAUGAAAUUAUUAAUAUCUAAAGCAUCUAUUAAAAUUAAGACGGCACUAGUAACAUUAAAAAUACCUAAAGCGUCUAUGUAGAUGGUACUGGUAAUAUUAUAUAUAUCAAAACUAGAUGCGUCUGUUACUUAGAUGGUAUUGAUAUAAUUAAUAAUUUAAAAUGCAUACACAAAUUAGAAUCGGAGAAACGAAAAACAAUAUUGGUUGCGUUUUACGGGACUGGGCGAUGGAGGGGCCCAUUUUUCAUAAAUAUAAAAUAAUAGCUGAAGCGUCUGUUUGGACGGUACUGAUUAAAUUAUAAUAUCUGAAGCGUCUGUUUGGACGGUACUGAUUAAAUUAUAAUAUCUGAAGCGUCUAUUUAGACGGUACUGAUGAAAUUAUUAAUAUCUAAAGCAUUUAUUAAAAUUAAGACAGCACUAGUAACAUUAAUAAUACCUGAAGCGUCUAUGUAGAUGGUACUGGUAAUAUUAUAUAUAUCAAAACUAGAUGCGUCUGUUAUUUAGAUGGUAUUGAUAUAAUUAAUAAUUUAAAAUGCAUACACAAAUUAGAAUCGGAGAAACGAAGAACAAUAAUGGUUGCGUUUCACGGACUGGGCGAUGGAGAGGCCUAUUUUUCAUAAAUAGAAAAUAAUAGCUGAAGCGUCUGUGUGGACGGUACUAAUUAAAUUAUAAUAUCUGAAACAUCUAUUAUAAUUAAGACGGCACUAGUAACAUUAAUAAUACCUGAAGCAUUUAUGUGGAUGGCACUUGUAAUAUUAUAUAUGUAUAUCAAAACUAGAUGCGUCUAUUUAGAUGGUAUUGAUAUAAUUAAUAGUUAUAAAAAAAUUAGAAUCGGAGAAACGAAGAACAAUAUUGGUUGCGUUUUACGGGACUGGGCGAUGGAGGGGCUCAUUUCUCAUAAAUAUAAAAUAAUAGCUGAAGCGUCUGUGUGGACGGUACUGAUUAAAUUGUAAUAUCUGAAGCGUUUAUUUAGACGGUACUGAUGAAAUUAUUAAUAUCUAAAGCAUCUAUUAAAAUUAAGACGUCACUAGUAACAUUAAAAAUACCUGAAGCGUCUAUGUAGAUGGUACUGGUAAUAUUAUAUAUAUCAAAACUAGAUGCGUCUGUUACUUAGAUGGUAUUGAUAUAAUUAAUAAUUUAAAAUACAUACACAAAUUAGAAUCGGAGAAACGAAAAACAAUAUUGGUUGCGUUUCACGGGACUGGGCGAUGGAGGGGCCCAUUUUUCAUAAAUAUAAAAUAAUAGCUGAAGCGUCUGUUUGGACGGUACUGAUUAAAUUAUAAUAUCUGAAGCGUCUGUUUGGACGGUACUGAUUAAAUUAUAAUAUCUGAAGCGUCUAUUUAGACGGUACUGAUGAAAUUAUUAAUAUCUAAAGCAUUUAUUAAAAUUAAGACGGCACUAGUAACAUUAAUAAUAUCUGAAGCGUUUAUGUAGAUGGUACUGGUAAUAUUAUAUAUAUCAAAACUAGAUGCGUCUGUUAUUUAGAUGGUAUUGAUAUAAUUAAUAAUUUAAAAUGC